GACGAACGCUGGCGGCGUGCUUAACACAUGCAAGUCGAACGGAAAGGCCCUGCUUUUGUGGGGUGCUCGAGUGGCGAACGGGUGAGUAACACGUGAGUAACCUGCCCUUGACUUUGGGAUAACUUCAGGAAACUGGGCUAAUACCGGAUAGGAGCUCCUGCUGCAUGGUGGGGGUUGGAAAGUUUCGGCGGUUGGGGAUGGACUCGCGGCUUAUCAGCUUGUUGGUGGGGUAGUGGCUUACCAAGGCUUUGACGGGUAGCCGGCCUGAGAGGGUGACCGGCCACAUUGGGACUGAGAUACGGCCCAGACUCCUACGGGAGGCAGCAGUGGGGAAUAUUGCACAAUGGGCGGAAGCCUGAUGCAGCAACGCCGCGUGCGGGAUGACGGCCUUUGGGUUGUAAACCGCUUUCGCCUGUGACGAAGCGUGAGUGACGGUAAUGGGUAAAGAAGCACCGGCUAACUACGUG
RNAcentral lists this ribosomal RNA (467 nucleotides) under uncultured bacterium. RNAcentral describes it as "partial 16S ribosomal RNA". It matches the Rfam family "Bacterial small subunit ribosomal RNA", at positions 28 to 507 of the family's 1533-position model. The record is from RNAcentral.